RNAcentral lists this long non-coding RNA (1613 nucleotides) under Ananas comosus (pineapple). RNAcentral's name for it is "long non-coding RNA (ACOM_LNC035243)". Lineage: Eukaryota; Viridiplantae; Streptophyta; Magnoliopsida; Poales; Bromeliaceae. The record is from RNAcentral.
ACGAGCAGAGGGCGCGGGCACAUCGCGUCCGUCCGUCGCCGUUGCUGCCGUUGCCGCCGCUUGCCGCUCCAAGAGCUCCUGGAGCCGCUCGAAUCGGUUCUCCUGGCGCUGCACCACAUUGGUCAAUGCGGCCACUUGCGCCUGCAACCGAUCCAUCACGCUCGGUUCCUCCUGCUCGGGCACCUCAAAAGUUGGUGCAGGGGCAGAUCUACGUGUGUAGCGUCUUGGAGACAUUAGUCCCUGAAACGCAAAUACUUGGUUAAUCAUCAUAACCCUCGUCGCAAUUACGACACAUGACAACUUAAUAACAAAAUCGGGCGGAAGCACACAAGCGUACUCGUUCUAGACUCUUGGCAUCAUGUCAUCGGCCGCCGACACAACCACCUCAAAUCAAGAACUAAUGCCACUUGAAUCCGUCUCUAUUCACAACUAGAGACAUAUUAACAACUUCGACCCAAUCGAAUUAACUUCCGCCAUCGUUAUAGGUUCACGUUCCAUUCACGCACCUAUAACCUUAGGGCUUACCAACCUAGGGUCUCCAAGAUCAUCUUAGACUUUCUCUGUUUACUUGCUCUCAUUGCUCUGAUACCACAAAAGCUGUCACGCCCCGCCCCGAAACCACUACCAAUUUGGCACGAUUCGGCCGAGGCGGCGGACCGCCGAACAACAGGUAGAUAAAUAGAUAGAUAUCUGAAAGCUGUAAAUGCGAUAGUAGGAAAAACUAUGCUACUAUGCCCAUAAUUAUGAAUAUGGAUGCAUGCAUCAUAUAAUAAAGGUUUGCUACCAUGCUAACAAAUUCGAUCCAUGUUCGAAUAGCUAUGUUCAAUGACAUUUAUUAAACAUUUAACCUUUCAUUUACCCAAUCUGUGGCGAGGCCCUGGGGCUCGUCAAUGACUCACCUUUCAAUCCCAAAGUGGGGAGGGAGCUCCAAGUGCACCCAAGCCCGGGACCGUCUGCGGACCUCCAUGUGGUCCGGACCUCCAAGUGGUCCUAGUCGCGCGACACUCCGGAGUACUCGACGACAAUCCCCUCCAUGUGGGGAUUGGAUGGUUAUACCACCCUAAACGCAGAUUGUGAGCUAGAUCUAUCCUCUCCAAGUGAGGACACUCUACAACUAGGGUCACAACCCAAUCAAAUCCUCUCUAAGUGAGGGAGCACUCUACUACUAGAGUCAACAUCUCUCGCGGGAUCAUUUGUUCCCGACAUUCAUGCAAUGCUAUUUAGCUUUUCUAAAUUCAUUGUUCACAAGGCAUUUUCUAAGGGAUCCACCUAUCCCUAGGUUCUCAAACCUCUAGUGUCAUAUACACUACAUUAAUGCCACUCGUCAUCAUUUAAAUUUUGGAUGCCACUCGUGUGUUCUUUUACACUAAACACUACUUUCUAUGUCAUCAAUACCCCCAUCGGGUUCAUCUCUUUUCUUUCAUAUUAUAGGAUCCAUGUUCCGACCCAAUCCUUACCUAUCUAAGUUACCAAGCGUUCCAAGUACACUAGAUUAUCAUUUAGAAAGCAUAAGGAAUGGAGCUACUAUGCAAUCCUACAAUACAACAUGAAGAGAUGAGAUUAAAUGCAAUCUAAGACAUAGAAAGGAGUUCGAAAGCUUCGGCAGGGCACCC